ACUGCAAGUAGAGUUCAUGUGAUCGAUUUCGGUCUAAAGCAAGGGAUGCAGUGGCCGGCACUCAUGCAAGCUCUUGCUUUACGCCCAGGUGGGCCGCCGGCUUUUCGGUUAACCGGAAUUGGUCCACCGCAGCCUAACAACACGGACACUUUACAGCAAGUGGGUUGGAAGCUAGCGCAGUUAGCCGGGACUAUUGGCGUCGAAUUUGAAUUCCGCGGUUUUGUAGCCAACAGUUUAGCGGAUCUCCAGCCGGAAAUGCUCGACCUCCGGCCCCCGGAGGAGGAGACAGUCGCUGUUAAUUCCGUAUUCGAGCUUCACCGCCUCCUGGCUCGACCCGG
RNAcentral lists this unclassified non-coding RNA (338 nucleotides) under Hevea brasiliensis (rubber tree). The record is from RNAcentral. Lineage: Eukaryota; Viridiplantae; Streptophyta; Magnoliopsida; Malpighiales; Euphorbiaceae.